This is a long non-coding RNA of Magnolia sinica, 497 nucleotides long. RefSeq lists it as uncharacterized. NCBI's taxonomy places the organism in Eukaryota, Viridiplantae, Streptophyta, Magnoliopsida, Magnoliales, Magnoliaceae. The transcript is spliced from 2 exons. The record is from RefSeq and is a predicted model, not a curated record.
UGCACGUGUGCCAACUCUACACAUGUGAAUGACCAUGGAUGCAGGUCCAAGAGUAGCAUUCCUUCAGAUAAAGUUGUCUAACACCCCUAGUGAAGUACUCCCAAGUACAAAACCUACUACAAGCACAUGCAUACACUCAUAAAGGUAAAGGAUUUAUAGAACUUCACCUGAUCCACAUCAAGAGAUUUGUCAAAACCCUGUACAAAUAAAUAAAUUAUUGCUUUGUAUCUCUUCUAGGUCUCUAUAAGUAGACAAUGGCUAAAGGACUAGCUAGACUUAAACUUCACUGAUGAUUCCUUGUUUCCUCCUGCUUCCCUGUCAGUUUCAGGCUACAUUUUCAAAACAAUAGGUUUAUGAUGCAUAUAAUAUCCAAUAUACUUCUAACCAGUUGGAGUAUCCAGCUUUGUGUGAUGCCUAGAACUAAAAAGAAAUAGGGAAAAAGAGAGAAAAAGAAAGAGAAGGAAAAGAAAAGAUUCACACAACCUGAUGCAUUGGAA